This is a non-coding RNA of Poecilia reticulata (guppy), 1138 nucleotides long. The record is from RefSeq and is a predicted model, not a curated record. NCBI's taxonomy places the organism in Eukaryota, Metazoa, Chordata, Actinopteri, Cyprinodontiformes, Poeciliidae.
CCAUCUUUUUUUAAUUAAAGUUAUAUUUAAAACAUUAGCUGAUCCUUCAUCAUGGUGUCUAAUUUCUGCUCCAGCUCAUUCUGGGGAACUACAGGCGUCUCCAUGGUGAUAACGGCUCUGAAUGUUUGUUUGUUUGUUUGUUUUUACAGUGUCCUAACUUUAAAAUCAGUUAUUUUCUCUUUCAGUGGGUCAGGAUUAAUUGAUGACAGCUCGUCUAUCAGCUCCAUUUGUAAUUUUUAAAUAUUUCCUGCAGGACAGUGUUUGUCCACAGGAGGGCAGCAUAACCCUAACGAAAUAUAAACGAGCAGGAAAUCAGAUGCUCUGGAAAAGUGUCUUCACAGGUUUCCAGAUCGCUGCUGCUGGAGUUCUGGCUAAAACCAGGAGGAUAGCGCAUAGCAUCGAUCAUCAUUUUGAUGAAGACUUAACAAAAUACACUUCAGCAUCGCAGCGCCACCACUGCAGAGCUUGUUUAUUAUUGGCAAGAACUGAGAUAAAGACUUUUAGACAAAAAAGGCAACGAGAGGAGCCAAGAAAAACCUCUGGCACAGAUGUGGGAGGAAGUUUGAUGACUUUUAUUUCCUCUGAUGAAUCCUCCUGGUGAUUUUUGAACCUCUGGAGAACCAAACGAGGGGUUUCCUUCAGCUCCCAACAAAAACUUUGCUGCUUUUCUUCAACUUCUUCAAACAAUCCAGGUGGAGCUUCCUGUUGAGAAAGUGUCCAAAGAUGAUGAUAAUCCCGCCACAUGCCUCCCUGAUUACCGCCGCCGUGGAUUGACUCGGCUGUUCCGGGCUUUUUGCAGAGACGACACCAGCAGAGGCUGCUAAGGUGAUCCAGGCGGUUCUGUUCGGACCCUGCAGAUUUCUGUUUACAAUCACUGAGAUCAAACGGUUCCAGGGCGGCCAAGUCCUUCCUGCAACUUUUAGAGGCGUCCUAAACGUUUCCUCCUGAUCUGAUGAAUGUCUCAUCAACGGCUGGAAAAAUGUGAAAAUGACAUCUUGAAAAAGUUCAAUGUAUGAAACUCAUUUGUUGUCAUUUUGAUGAUUCUGGCUUACAGAUCAAAAAACCACAAAUUCAGAGUCUCAGAUAAUAAGAAUAUGACAUCAGAUCAAUAAAAAUAUAUAUCUUAGCCAAAAUGUCA